UUCAUUUGGAAUGGUAAAUGUUCCAGAUUACACUUCAAUAAGUUACAUAGGCCGAUUGACAACGUUGGGCUAGGCCAAGAUUUUGUUUUAUUAUUAUGCAUUCAGUCUCAGGCAUUUGGCUCAUUUGUUGCUUCCACCUGAGAGAGCCCCUCCCUUGUUUUCUAUUGAACAGGAAGCUUUUUCCCCUAUUUCGCCAUUGCAAAGCCUUUCUAUCAAACUAACCGGAGAAGUUAAGUUACACCACGCUAUCUCACAUUUGCAUGUGAUAUUGACAAAAGUUUCUACAGUGUUUAAUGAGUGUUUGGCGAAUUGGGCACUCACAUUUGAUUAUGUCACAGACUCAUAUUUUAGGUGACGGGCGGUCAUUAAUAUAAGGGAUAAAUGCAUAAUAAAUUGGGUCCUAGCCAGUGUUAUGAUCGACAGACAUUCAAGAGUGGUGCACAGAGAUGGGCAGGGUAGCGGCAUUCAAGGGGAUGUCAUGUAGAAGGCUAGGCAACUUCGAUGGGAAAGGGAAUAAUGGGGAUUAUAUUUGAUUCUAUGAAUAUAUGUUUUGUUUUCUGUUUCAAGUAUGUGAAUCAAUAAAAAGUGUUAAUCUAAAAAAUCAAAGCAAACGAUGAUAGAAAUAUUUUCCAUUUCAGCUGUGUCACGGAAAACUAAAUUCAGCAACUUUUUGCACCGAAUAUUUCAACCACUCACUCAAGUUAUACCAUGAUGCUACAAAUGACCGUUGCUAAUUGUUGCACAUCAAGAAGGAAAAUGUAGUGACUUCACCUGAUUGGUUUUAUACUCACCAAGGUUGGCAGGCUCUCUGGGGCGACCAUAUCAAGCUGGAGGAAGAGGACAGAGAGUCAGGUGCUGGUGUGACAACACCUAGCGAGUUGCUGGAUUUGAUGUUGGGUGGUUGUACUAGCAAUCUACCAUUUGAUUGACUUUUUACUUUUCCUGAUGUCAUAUAUUUUUUAUAUUGAUAUUUUACAUCCAGUUAUUGUCAUCGACAAGUUAACUAUCUUAACUCACUAUCUAGCUCUCAGUUACAGCAUUCAUUUGCAUGCCAGUCAUUAAUAGGCUAUUUGUAAAAAAUGUUUUACUCUAAAUGGCAGAAACGUGCUCUGUGUUUAAUGUGUGUUCAUGUUUAUUCUGUUGGUUCAUGUUUUCUUGUCUUUAAUUCUGAAAAGUCUAGUUCCUGGUUCUUGUCAUGUGAUUUCAUGUUUCCCUCCAUGUUCAUUGUCUUGUUUUCAUUGGUUCAUUGUUUGAUUACUUUGUUAUUAGUUCUAGUUUGUCAAUGGUUUUAGGUUAUUAGUCUUAUCUUGUUUAUAGUUCUGUCUGUUCAUUGGUUGUCUUGUUACCCAUGUCUGUGUAUAUAAGCCCUCAUGUUUGCCACGGUCUCUUGUCAAGGAUUGUUUGUAAGUGUAACUUUAUUGUUUUGUUUAAACAAUGCCAGGUCUAGUUUAUGUCAAGCCAUGUUUAUGUUUAGCCAUGUUUUAGUCAUGUUUAUAUCUAGUUAUUUCUCAUUUAUAGUUAGGGUUUUGGUUUCACGUUUAUUUAAUAAAUCUGCACUAGUGUUCUUCACUCCUUUGUCAUCUUCUUCGUCAUUGCUGGCAGCAGCAACUUCGUUACAGAAUACUUGACCACCAUAAUGAAACCAGCAGUACAGCUCCUCCACCUAUGUCAGAGGAAUUGUCCCCUGGAGGAUUAUGUGGAGGACUUCUGCAAUCUGGCAUACCAGGUGGAUUUUAAUGAGGUGGCUCUCAAGGACCGUAAGAGCCAAUCCCCACUUUGAUGCCUGUCGGUCGCAGUUCCCUCAGCCUGGCUCGUUAUAUUGACUUUGCCCUGCGGAUUACUGAUUUAGGUUCACUGUGGGGGAGGCGGAAGACCACGUCAUGGUUGACGAGCCAGCGUUGCCAACUUUGGCCUGGAGGAGGGCAUUUGUUUCAAAGUCCCUGCCCAUGUAAAGGACCACAGAGGUCGUUUCCAAAUCCCUGCCCAUGUUCACGACCACUGAGGUCUUUUCCAAGUCAUUCAGGACUCUUAGUUUCGAGCCUUCCAUGGCUCUACCUUCCACAACUUUGCGCCACAUCAUGGCCGCCCGAUUUCCAUGUUGCGGCCAUGCCAGAGUCAGCUCCAGUCCAGGCCUUGUCACAAGCAAGCCUCUGCUAAUUGGUCCUGGCCCACCUCUGCUCCACAGUGGACCUCCAUCCCUACUGUUGCACCUUGGACCUCAGCCCCAAUGGCUCCACCCCUCGGGCCUCUCAUGGCCCCACCCCCCACAGGCUCUGCCUUGAUCCCAUGCUCCAUGCCUUGUCAUGCCUGUCAUUGGUUGUAUUGUUACCCAUGUCUGUGUAUAUAAGCCCUCAUGUUUUCCAUUGUCUCUUGUCAAGUAUUGUUUGUGAGUAACUUUGUUUAAACCAUGCCAAGUCUAGUUUGUCAAGCCACGUUUAUGUUUAGCCAUGUUUUAGUCAUGUUCAUUUUUAUGUCUAGUUUAGUUCUCAUUUAUAGUUAGGGUUUUGGUUUCACAUUUAUUUAAUAAAACUGUGCUUGGGUUCUUCACUCCUUCAUCUUUGUCAUUGCCAGCAGCAGCAACUUCGUUACAAUGUGAAAGAGCCUGUAAAUGUUUUUCUUUUUCUCUUGGGUGCAAUACUCAUCCAUGCCACCAUAGGGCAAUAAACAGGGAGUAUUUCACAGAGUUGUCUAGAAAGAAGAGCGAAGAAGAUGCACAAGCAAGUAUUGUUGUAUGUUGAUUUUGUCAAUCCAUCUAAAGUUCUGAUUGAGGAAAGUUCUUUUGUUCAGCCCUUAUAUUUUCUCCAUACCACACGGCGAUCCUGAUUCACCCCUGCAGUGAAAAAAAAGGUGGUUUAUAAAGAGGAACAACACCCAGUGUAACCACUGAAGUUUACUGACAUACUAUUACAAAAAUGAAAUGUGUUAAAGAAGAGUUUAAAGAGGAGAGUGAAGACAUCAGUAUUACAGAAUCAUGCAGAAUGAAACAUGAAGAUACUGAAGAACAAAGAGACUUGAAGUAAAAGAAGAAAGUCAAGAACUGAAUGACAUGGAGAAACACCAUGAUCAUAAAUGUGAUCGAUUCAUGACUGGUGAAGAACCUUUAAGUGGCUCAAAGACUGAAAUUCAUUUUUCACUGAAAAGAACUCGAGGAGCAAGAGCCAAAAAUUCUUUCACCUGCUCUCAGUGUGGCAAGACUUCUGCACAUAAAGCAAAUCUUCUGCAUCACAUGAAAAUUCACACUGGAGAAAAGCCAUACCACUGUACUUCAUGUGGGAAGAGUUUCAGCCAAUCAAGCAAUCUCAAAAUUCAUCUGCACUAUCAUUCUGGAUUGAAACCAUUUAAUUGUGAUCAGUGCAGCAAGAAAUUUACACUGGCAUCACAGCUAAAGUUACACCUGGCAAAUCAUUCUAAUGAGAAACCUCACGUGUGUUCGUUUUGUGGAAAGAGUUUCAAUACAUUAACACACCUGAAAACACAUGUAAGAGUACAUACUGGGGAGAAGCCAUACCUCUGUACUUCAUGUGGGAAGAAUUUCAGCCACUCAAGUAAUCUAAGGACUCAUUUAAAAAAGCGUUGUCCAAAACUGUCAUAUGAGCAAUGUUAACUCUUCAGCUUUCUAACGGACGCCUGAAGGUUUUGUGCCAAAACUGCCUGGUAUUUGGAAUGGUUCAUAAUUCCCUCCACCCUGAAUAAGGCCCCAGUUCCAGCUGAAGAACAGCCCCAAAGCAUGAUGCUACCACCACCAUGCUUCACUGUGGGUAUGGUGUUCUUUGGGUGAUGUGCAGUGUUGUUUUUGCUCCAAACAUACCUUUUGGAAUUAUGGCCAAAAAGUUCAACCUUGGUUUCAUCAGACCAGAACACAUUUUCCCACAUGCUUUUGGGAGACUUGAUGUUUGUUUUUGCAAACUUCAGCCAGGCUUGGAUGUUUUUCUUUGUAAGAAAAGGCUUCUGUCUUGCCACCCUACCCCAUAGCCCAUAUGAAGAAUACGGGAGAUGUAGCACACAGCCAGUACUUGCCAGAAAUUCCUGCAGUUCCUUUAAUGUUUCUGUAGGCCUCUUGGAAGCCUCCCUGACCGGUUUUCUUCUUGUCUUUUCAUCAAUUGUGGAGGGAUGUCCAGUUCUUGGUAAUGUCUCUGUUGUGCCAUAUUUUCUCCACUUGAUGAUGACUGUCUUCACUGUGUUCCAGGAUAUGUUUGCUAAUGCUUUGGAAAUUCUUUUGUACCCUUCUCCUAACUGAUAUCUUUCAACAAUGAGAUCCCUCUGAUGCUUUGGAAACUCUCUGUGGACGAUGGCUUUUGCUCUGAGAUGCAACUAAGAAAAUGUCAGGAAAAUCCUUCUAGAACAGCUGAACUUUAUUUGUGAUUAAUCAGAGUCACUUUAAAUGAUGGCAGGAAAGUUCCAUACAGGCACCCCAUGUAGUGGCAGAUUAGGGCAGAUGACUUCACUUUCCAGACAACUAUCCUUGACCCACUGUUCAUACUUCCAUCCAAAGGAUUUACAUUAUUCUGGAUGGAAGAUUCCACAUUGAUUCCUUGCACAUUUAUUCUCUUUGUUCUGCUUUGCCGUUUUGUGGUCCGUUCUGCAUAGCUCGCCGGCUCAUUUUUGCUUAUUGCGGCCCAUUUCACGGCCGACCAACUGGCCCGCUCGGUUCUCCCGCUGACCAGUACGCCCCAAAGGGCGUCGGCCCACCCGUAAAAUGCCCGGUAUUUCAGAUUGCCAGUCCAGUCCUGUCAGAGACCCCAGUUAUUGAACUAAUUUAAAUUCACCAAGAAAACGCUUAGACCUAAAUGAGUCCUUUUAUUACUUUCUGCUAUCAAAGCAACUGCAAGCUUUUUUCUCUCUUCCAAAUACAGGUUUUCAAUGUUUAUUGUGCACACUGUCAUGUCUAGAUGUGGUUUUGUUCAUGUUUUGUUUUCAUGUCUUUUAUUUUGAAAUUAUAGUUCCUGUUUCAUGUCAUGUGCUUAUAAAUUGAAACAAAAGACACAAACACACGCAUGCUGGUCAGCUGGCCGUAAACAAACUCUCUCUCUCUCGUCGAACCAUCGUCACCGGCCGCCUUUAUCCCUCGCACGCCUCAUCAGGCCGAUUGGGGACCGGGGGCGCGAUAUUCCGACCCGGCCCUGCCCUACUCCGCUCCACACUCCUCCCGGCGUUAUCUCAGGCCGGGGUGCCACCGGCAUGACGUACAUCCCCCCCCAUCCCUGGGGCGGGGUGUAUCUUGCAUCACGUGUGGUCAUCCCCGCCUUCCUUGCCCUGGGAGGAGACAGGAGGGGAAGACAACAACAAAGAAAACUAAAUGAAAAGGCCAACAUGGUGCGACAGAGAGGAGAGAGAGAGAAAAAGCUUACUCACCGGUUCUCUGAUGUACCGUCGCGUGGUACUCGAACACUCCUCCAAACUCAGGCAGACGAAAGCCGCUCCAACCCCGGGUGAACCAGAGUCAAACCUUUGACCCCCAGCGGGCAGAACGCCCCUCCACUUUUCUGGCAGCAAAUUGGGACACUCCUCUGCCCCUGGCAGCGGCCCUACCGCUCCGGGCGGUCGGGGAAUUUCUUCCCUCAUCCCCUCGCGGACGGCGGUCUCCCUCGACCCCUCCGCGUCUCUGGGGAUGGCAGGGCACUCCUCCGCCCCCGGCAGCGGCUCCCUCGCUCCAGGCGGUCGGGGUAUCCAGUCCCGACUUGCCCCGCGGAUGACGGCCGUUCCCCACAUCCGGGCGGUCGGGCUACUCCGUCACCCGGCAGAUGGCAGCGGCGCACCCCUGGGUGGACGGCAGUGUCGAGGACUCUGCGACAGGCAUCCCUCCUCCUUCCCAGGUUUCGGCACCAAUGUAACACAGUUAAAGUAUGGGCAAGGAGGAGGCGAGAACCGGCUUGUCACCAUAAAUAAUAAUUUAAUGAGAACUUAAACCAAAAGCACAAACAUAAACAAACACACACACGACGGACAUGCCCGUAAUUCUCUCUCUCUCUCGAAUCAUCGUCACCGGCCGCCUUUAUCCCUCGCGCGCCUCAUCAGGCCGAUUGGGGACCGGCGCGCAAUAUUCCGACCCGGCCCCGCCCCCCUCCGCUCCACAUAUUGUUAUCUUGUUUAUAGUUGUGUCUGUUUAUUGGUUUUCUUGUUAUUGUUUUACCCUAUGUCUGUGUAUUUAAGCCAACAUGUUUGCCAUUGUCUCUUGACAAGUAUGGUUAAUGUACCACUGUUGUAUUUUUCAAGUCAAGCUAUAGUCAAGUCAAGGUUAAGUCAAGUCAAGUCAUGUUAUGUCAAGUCUAGUUCAUGUUUAUGUUCAUGUUUUUAGUUAGGGUUUUUGGAGUACAUGUUUGGUAAAUAAACUGAACUUGGAUUCUUCAUCUUCAUGUAAUUGUCUUCAUCAUUUCCAGUGCUAGCACAUUGUUACACACACCUCCCCACUUGUUUUA
Xyrauchen texanus (razorback sucker) is the source of this 6416-nucleotide long non-coding RNA. RefSeq lists it as uncharacterized. The transcript is spliced from 5 exons. NCBI's taxonomy places the organism in Eukaryota, Metazoa, Chordata, Actinopteri, Cypriniformes, Catostomidae. The record is from RefSeq and is a predicted model, not a curated record.